This 363-nucleotide ribosomal RNA is filed under the name uncultured bacterium. RNAcentral describes it as "bacterial SSU rRNA". It matches the Rfam family "Bacterial small subunit ribosomal RNA", at positions 30 to 391 of the family's 1533-position model. The record is from RNAcentral.
AUUGAACGCUGGCGGCAGGCCUAACACAUGCAAGUCGAGCGGAUGAGUGGAGCUUGCUCCAUGAUUCAGCGGCGGACGGGUGAGUAAUGCCUAGGAAUCUGCCCUGGUAGUGGGGGACAACGUUUCGAAAGGAACGCUAAUACCGCAUACGUCCUACGGGAGAAAGCAGGGGACCUUCGGGCCUUGCGUUAUCAGAUGAGCCUAGGUCGGAUUAGCUAGUAGGUGAGGUAAUGGCUCACCUAGGCGACGAUCCGUAACUGGUCUGAGGGGAUGAUCAGUCACACUGGAACUGAGACACGGUCCAGACUCCUACGGGAGGCAGCAGGUGGGGAAUUUUGGACAAUGGGCGCAAGCCUGAUCCAG